CGGCAAAAGCUCAAAUUUGAAAUCUGGUACCUUCGGUGCCCGAGUUGUAAUUUGGAGAGGGCAACUUUGGGGCCGUUCCUUGUCUAUGUUCCUUGGAACAGGACGUCAUAGAGGGUGAGAAUCCCGUGUGGCGAGGAGUGCGGUUCUUUGUAAAGUGCCUUCGAAGAGUCGAGUUGUUUGGGAAUGCAGCUCUAAGUGGGUGGUAAAUUCCAUCUAAAGCUAAAUAUUGGCGAGAGACCGAUAGCGAACAAGUACAGUGAUGGAAAGAUGAAAAGAACUUUGAAAAGAGAGUGAAAAAGUACGUGAAAUUGUUGAAAGGGAAGGGCAUUUGAUCAGACAUGGUGUUUUGUGCCCUCUGCUCCUUGUGGGUAGGGGAAUCUCGCAUUUCACUGGGCCAGCAUCAGUUUUGGUGGCAGGAUAAAUCCAUAGGAAUGUAGCUUGCCUCGGUAAGUAUUAUAGCCUGUGGGAAUACUGCCAGCUGGGACUGAGGACUGCGACGUAAGUCAAGGAUGCUGGCAUAAUGGUUAUAUGCCGCCC
Molecule: ribosomal RNA, 537 nt
Filed under: Saccharomyces cerevisiae (brewer's yeast)
Lineage: Eukaryota; Fungi; Ascomycota; Saccharomycetes; Saccharomycetales; Saccharomycetaceae
Description: eukaryotic LSU rRNA
Rfam family: Eukaryotic large subunit ribosomal RNA
Source: RNAcentral